CAAAGACCCCUGAGGACAGAGAACUUCAAAAGGACCUCUGAAUUUUGACCCUCAGGCCUCACCUUGGCACUAAGGCAGAGAGUGACAGGCCCUGAGGGGAGGGCCAGCGAUCAGACAGCUUUGUCUAGGACAUGGGAUUGGAGAAAAGUCAUGAUAUGUACCAAGAGCCUGUGAAGCAUCUUACAAGGUGGCUGCAAUUUUGGCUCAGGGAAACUAGAUGUGGCCAGACUUGCACAUAAAUGACAAUGGAUGCUUCUCCCAAAGUUUCCAAAAAUCUGGAUGAACUAACCCAGAAGGAUCCUGUCUGAAUAAAGAACACUGCUCCAAGUGACCAGGAGGCCUCGAUCUCUUUCUGCACUUAUGGAGAGGGAAGG
RNAcentral lists this long non-coding RNA (374 nucleotides) under Homo sapiens (human). RNAcentral's name for it is "HSALNT0245536". The record is from RNAcentral. Lineage: Eukaryota; Metazoa; Chordata; Mammalia; Primates; Hominidae.